Molecule: long non-coding RNA, 1246 nt
Filed under: Astyanax mexicanus (Mexican tetra)
Lineage: Eukaryota; Metazoa; Chordata; Actinopteri; Characiformes; Acestrorhamphidae
Description: lncRNA (ENSAMXG00005020332.1)
Source: RNAcentral
CUUGGCUUAGGCUAACGCAGCUAGCGGUGCAUGAGGCUAGUUAAGCUAAUUACGGAUACAGUUUUCAUGAGUUAGUUUAUAAUAUAACUUUCUUGCCAUGGUAGAAGUUACUGAACGUGUCUUUCACUGGAUUGUGUAGAUUUAGCCUUGCCCAACUUGGCAACCCGAUGUAGCUUCGUGGCUGGGGAGGGGUGGGCAGUGCAGACUACUCUCCGUGGUGUUUUGAAAUUGGACGCUCCAGCUAUUUCACACCUCGCUCUCUUUUCCUACAGAAUGUAACGUUACCUUUAACUUAGACGCAAGCCACCUAAACAACAAUGAAGCAGCAGGCAGCACACAUGCAGCUCGGUGGUCUCUCUGCCCUCAUUCCGUGCACGUUGCUGUCGGUGCUCAGCAUCAGUCAGAGAGAGAGAGGGAGAGAGAGAAAAAGAUGAAUGUUUCAAUUUUCCUCCACACACCACAGAGUGAAAUGGAGCCAGGAAAGCCUCCCACGUGGAACUGACCGCAGGAGCGGGACUGAAGCAACGGCCGCCAGUCAAAGGGUUAUCACCCCCUAACGUGCGCCUCUGGUGUUCUGGUUCUGCUGCCGCCGUUGGAUCGGCGUGUCUGCACGCUUACGCUGCUGUCUUUCCUGCCAUUGAUUAGGGGUAUCAAGCCCCAUCUGUGUCCGCUGGCGGCCGCCUCGGAGGAGCACUGACACUGACACUGUGCGUGUGUAAUUAGACAUCAGCUCGGGGAUGCUCAGCGAGCGCCGCGUGACUGAGAGAAGUGGCCCUGAGGCGCACGAGCAAGGUGGCGCUAAGAAGCUAAUUAUCAGUUUCCUGACAGUGAGUUGAACAUCUUUCUCUCUUUCGGUCUCUGUACAUGGAUUCACGCCAGUUCACUUCUUAUAAACUCAUUCAGUAAAUCUAAUUUACUCAGGCUACGCUUAGGGCAAGGCAAAAUUUACGUUUCAAUCACUGAAAUCUGCGGAUAAAAGGUCUGGGAAGUAAAUGUUAUGAAAAGGUGUUUUAGUAUACACUGCCAGGCAAAAAAAAAAAGUCACUUGGAUUUAAAUGAUGUGGGGUUGAUGCUGGAGUUGGUCAGGUUUAGGUUCAGCAACAGUAUGUGCUGAAAGAAUGAGGUCAGCUGACUACCUGAAUAUACUGAAUAUAGACCAGGCUAUUCCAUCAAUGGAUUUUUUCUUCCCUGAUGUCACGAGCAUAUUUCAAGAUGAUAAUGCCAGAAUUCAUGGGGCUGGAAUUGU